CGAACCCCCAGUGCCGCCCCCCUCUCCCCCUCCUCACGACCCCUUCCCAGCACACCUCCUCCACUCUCCACUGCUCCCUUCCACCUCUAGAUCUCCUCCAUUGCAGCAAGGAUCGAGAAGAGAAGGAGAAAGAUGGAUUGAAGAGGAAGAGAGGAUCGAGGAGAUAUGCUAGAUCGGUGCAAAGGUGACUCUGAACCAGUCAGGGAUGGUGUUGCAGGGAUCCGCAAGCAAGAUGAAGGAUAAAGCACAAGAGCAGCUUGAUGGUGCAUCGGUGGCAGAAGAUGGAGAUGCAAUGGCUUUGGACUAGUUCAUAUAAAAGAUGUGUCAUCACUAGCAACUUAGCAAGUGUUGUUCGCCCCAUAACUAUUUGGAUAGUAACAAUGAUGGAUGUAAGGGAGACUUUUGGUUGCCCAGUAACGUAAGCUUGUGGAGACUUUUAUUUAGCUAGUGAUCAUCCUGACUCUUGAGAAAAAUGUAUGUCUAAACUUUGUUAAAUGCUGCUUGGUCUUUGUAUGGAUGUGGUCAGCCUUUUGUAUCAGUUUAUCUUCUCCAA
Setaria italica (foxtail millet) is the source of this 553-nucleotide long non-coding RNA. RefSeq lists it as uncharacterized. The record is from RefSeq and is a predicted model, not a curated record. The transcript is spliced from 2 exons. NCBI's taxonomy places the organism in Eukaryota, Viridiplantae, Streptophyta, Magnoliopsida, Poales, Poaceae.